Molecule: long non-coding RNA, 1122 nt
Organism: Rhagoletis pomonella (apple maggot)
Lineage: Eukaryota; Metazoa; Arthropoda; Insecta; Diptera; Tephritidae
Exons: 2
Source: RefSeq, a predicted model, not a curated record
AUUAUUGAAUCAUGGUAUAAGCGUAGAUUAUUGCAUACAAGUAUGUGUAAAAUAUUGUUGAUUUGGGUCACGCGUGUGGGCGCAGCAACCCAAAAUCUUUGUACAUCUAACUAAUUUUUUUCCGAUCUUUAAAUGUGUGUUAUGACGGAUGUUUGCUCUUUUGAAUCGUUAUCGGGUACGCUUAACGAAGUAGUCAGUACCAAACAUUUUUUAAAGUAUUGGGUUUCGAUUGUUAGGUACCGAAAAUUCAGCACAUUUCUAAUGUGAAAUAUGAUAUCGACGAAACGAACUUGAAACGUACGAACAUCAGAUCGGCAGCGAUCUGACGCGAUGUGCGUAUCUCUGUUGCUACAAAAUGUUGAUUGGAUAGGACAGUUUAAAGUUUUUUACUUAUGGUAAAUAGUUUUUUCGAGCAUUAGUUCCAUACAUACGAACCUUUAGUGACAUAUCUGUGAAGUAAUAAUUCGUUUAAAGUGUUUAGCUUGUGCAAGUAAAUUAUGGAGGUCAAGCAAAAAUUUUGAAUAAAUGGGUGUAUUACAAUUGUCGGGCUUGUAAGGAUGUUUUUAGAAAACAUGAUACUAUAAAUAGCAAAUAAUAUUUCGUGCUUCCACAGGCUUGUAGUAUACAUAAGUUAGUGAUAAAACAUGGUAACAAUAAUGUGUAUAAUGUAAAAAAAAUUGAGAUUUGCGUGAUUCCAAGAGGAUAAAAUUGAGUGAGAAUAGUUGAAAAAAAUACUGGAGAAUUAUGCAGUAAAUAGCCUGGAAAGCGUCCAAUCAAAAUUAGUAAGUAAAACUAAAAAUUCUGAUUUAUUUAACUAAUUUACGCCUUUGACGUCAAAAUCGCCACUUUGCCGGGGCGGCGUAUUGAAAUACUCAUUGUUUUUUCGCCCCUUACUUGCGUGAGAGAGAGAACGUGGGAGUACACAUAUGUAUAUUAAAGUACAUGUUUGUCCUCCAGCUCCUUAUACGAAGAGGCUGAAUGCAACAUAAACUGAUGGGGGCCCCGUUUCUUUCUCCCACAAAUCUUGUGCGACUUAGUCUGAGUGCUGCCACUUGAAAAUAUUUUUAGGUAUCAAAUCAGUUUCCGAACUACCAACACUUUUUUUCAUCAUUACAGCCUUAU